This 314-nucleotide signal recognition particle RNA is filed under the name Sorghum bicolor (sorghum). RNAcentral describes it as "SRP RNA Plant_SRP". It matches the Rfam family "Plant signal recognition particle RNA". Lineage: Eukaryota; Viridiplantae; Streptophyta; Magnoliopsida; Poales; Poaceae. The record is from Rfam by way of RNAcentral.
AAUAUCUGUAGCGGGAACUUGUGACCCUAGCGGGGGCAUCAAGGUGGUGUGGAUGCUUUGCGACAGUUUCUCUGGGCCUGGGCCUGUGGUGUGCCUUUGCUGGCCUGCCCGUCCCAAGUUGGUAGUGGUUGGCGGGGCUCUUGCGAAAGCUUGGUCCUCUCUAAACCUAAAGCGGCAGGAAUGGCGUGAGGCUGGCUUCACAGAGCAGCGAUCAUUGUCCGCUUUCAACGGUGGGAGGAUAACAGGCCGCUGCAUCAUGCGCCCAACUCCAGGGCCGAGAGCCUCACUAAUCACUAUAACAGACCACCAUCUUA